ACAGUCAUUGUUUCCAGACCAGCCGAGCCAACUGGGGAGGAGAGGCCAAGCCCAGGGAGAGCAGUAAGAGGCCCAGCUUGCAACACAGGCCCCCGGCGGCUGGAGUCGGCUCAUGGGUUGCUGGGGGGCAGCUGGUGCCAGCCCUGCUAGACAUGUCCAGGGUCGGGGCAGAGGCCAGGGUGGCUCUCAUCCACAACGAGGCUCCAGGAAGAGGCUCCAGAGGGCCCAGGUCCCUGGAGGAAGACAGAGGGUGGAUUAUCCAGUGAGUCCUCAGAUUGCUCCAGGGAGACUCUACCCCUAGGCCCUCAUCCUACCUAGGACUGAGGCAGCCAUCUGGGUCUCUGCUUCCCUAACCACUUCCUCCUCCACCCGACCAUCACCUAGUCUCAAGGACUUGGGCAGCUUCUGGAAGUGGCUGAGACUGGAAGAAUGUUGUCACACCUACCAGAUAUCCCUACGUGUAUCUCUACCACCCCCACUACAUAUUCUGAAGAACCAAGAGCCCUAGCUCCUCCGUGUCCCUCAUCUGUCAAGUCUGCUCUCAGGGAAAAGCGGAAACUCACUCAGUCCCAAAGGUGAAUGGUAACCUCAGCUUCUUCUCAGGGUGGGAGGGGAGGCCGGUGUUUUCCCAGAUCCUAAGCUAAAGUAAGCUCCUGCUAAACAGAUGAGGGAAUUAUGCUGAGGGGGAAGAGGUUCACCCUGGACUCCUGUGAAUUCCUUGAAGGAUUCAUGAGAUUUCUCACCUCUGGGUUUUCUGUGGGGGUUGAGUCUCUCCAUCUGUAAUGCUCUUUGUCUAAUUGGCUCACACUUUCUUUCUGCUGAAUAAUGUCACUUCUGUGCUUGGGAGUGGUCCCUGGGGUAGAGGAUGCCAGUUGCCAAGCAAAACCUAUCCCCCUUUCUUCUUGACUGACAGACACUUAUAUUAUUGGGGCAGCUAAAGCACUACAUUUCCCAAGUUUACAGACAUCUGUGGCCAAGCGGGUGUAAGCAGAAGACUUUAGGGGUAGAGGAUGCCUCAGAGAAAGUUAUUCAAAAGGGGGAUAAUUAAAACAGGAGGUGAACUUUCUUCUUUGCCCUUCCCCCAUGGAAUGUGGCCAUGAUGGUUGGAGCUCCAGCAGCCAUCUUGGGACCAAUGUGAGGAUGGACAUUACAAGCUAAGAGGGCUGAGCAGAAAGAAAGAAGACAUCAGACUCUGAUGAGUGACUGUGGAGCUGCCUUGCCAGUCCUAGACUGCCCAAGGCCGUAUUUCUCUCAGGUGAAAAUAAACCUGUAUCCUCUUUAA
This 1282-nucleotide long non-coding RNA is filed under the name Homo sapiens (human). RNAcentral describes it as "gastric cancer associated WDR5 and KAT2A binding lncRNA, transcript variant 7 (GCAWKR)". Lineage: Eukaryota; Metazoa; Chordata; Mammalia; Primates; Hominidae. The record is from RNAcentral.